This 65-nucleotide transfer RNA is filed under the name Durgades nigropicta. RNAcentral's name for it is "tRNA-Asp". Lineage: Eukaryota; Metazoa; Arthropoda; Insecta; Hemiptera; Cicadellidae. The record is from RNAcentral.
GAGAGUUUAGUUUAAAUAAAACAUUAAUUUGUCAAAUUAAAAUUAUUCCAUUAAAAUAUCUCUUU